AAACAAGAUAGACUGCUCUGAAUAAUAAUGUAUAAUAUUAACCUUAUGAGAGAUGUGGCCUUGUGUAUGAUAAGACAGAUGAGAAAGUAUGUAUCUUCUAUCUUGUCGUAAGGCUGUACUCUCUAUGAAAAAUAAUAUUUGUUUUUGCAAGAUGGCAAUUCAAUCAUCACCUGCAGCUCAAUUAGAAGAACAAAGAGGCUCAUCUACACCUCACAGCAGAAGUGAGUUCCUUCACCUACCCUGUACUUUUUUCUGAAACCUGGAUAGGCAAAGCUCCCCAUCCUAACUUGGAGUAUGAGAGAACUCCCCUGCCCUUACCCAAGCACAUCCUGCCCCUGGAUAUUAGUCUAGCCUAGUGGUUCUCAAACAGAUAAUUUUGCCCUGUGGGGCACAUGUAGCACUAUCUAGAGACAGUUUUGGGUGUCACAACUUGGAGGAGGAGGAGGAGGAUGCCACUGACAUCCAGUGGAUAUAGGCUAGGGUUGCUAUUAAACAUCCUACAAUGUACAGGACAGUACCAACAAAAACAAAAAAUUACCCAGCCCAAAAUAUCAGUAGUACCAAGGGUAAGAUUCACUUGAGAAGCAUACUGCUCAGAAUAGGCUUGAAACUUUGAGGACUAUAGUGCUGGGAGUGCUGUCUCAUGCAUUUAGAAGGGGUAGGUUGUUCCAAAGAAUAUCUGAAGGCUUGCUUUGAGAGGUGAGAAGAAGGAAGCAUUGUUCGGAGAUAUUGGGGCCUAGGAGCAGGGGAGAAAAAUGAGAAAGUGGACUACACCAAUGAGGGUUUCCAUUAAAAUGGAAUUUCCAGUUCCUCUUUUUCUGACUGGAACCAUGGAGGAUGCAGAAGAGAAGAAAAAGAAGGUUCCUGCUGUGUCAGAAACCCUUAAGAAAAAGCGAAGAAAUUUCCCAGAGCUGAAGAUCAAACGCCUGAGAAAGAAGUUUGCUCAAAAGAUGCUUCGAAAGGCAAGGAGGAAGCUUAUCUAUGAAAAAGCUAAGCAUCAUCACAAGGAAUACAGGCAGAUUUACAGAACUGAGAUUCGAAUGGCUAGGAUGGCAAGAAAACCAGGCAACUUUUAUGUACCUGCAGAACCCAAAUUGGCAUUUGUCAUCAGGAUCCGAGGUAUCAAUGGUGUGAGCCCAAAGGUCCGAAAGGGGUUGCAGCUUCUUCACCUUCGCCAGAUCUUCAAUGGAACCUUUGUUAACCUCAACAAGGCUUCAGUUAAUAUGCUGAGGAUUGUAGAACCAUAUAUUGCAUGGGGGUACCCAAACCUAAAGUCAGUAAAUGAACUAAUCUACAAGUGGGGUUGUGGCAAAAUCAAUAAGAAAUGAAUUGUGUUGACAGAUAACAAUUUGAUUGCUCGAUCUCUUGAUAAAUAUGGCAUCAUCUACAUGGAGGAUCUGAUUCAUGAAAUCUAUACUGUUGGGAAAUGCUUCAAAGAAGCAAAUAAUUUCUUGUGGCCCUUCAAGUUAUCAUCUCCACGGGGUGGAAUGAAGAAAAAGACAACGCAUUUUGUAGAAGGUGGAGAUGCUGGCAACAGGGAGGACCAGAUCAACAGGCUUAUUAGAAGAAUGAACUAUGGUGUCUACCAUGAUUAUUUUUGUAAUCUGGCCAGUUAAUAAACAGUGACUGCUUUCAAAUUGGAAAAAAAAAUGGAAUUUCCAUUAAAAUUCUUGAAGACAUUUCCAUUAAACUGAGGAGAAAGUCAUUGUCAUUUUCUUUGUUGGCUUAAUCCUCAUUAAUGGGAGUAUGAAGGAACAAGACAGCAAAGAAUGUGACUGACCCCAUAUUCAACCCUCUGCUGACCCGACAGACAGGAAGUUAUAUCCUGUCCUGAGGACUCUGUCCAGGGGUUCCAAGUGGUAACCAGGGGCAACAUGAUGAGUGGUUUAUGCAAACAUCUCUGAUGAUGCUCUCAUCAGAGCACCAAAACAAAUACUCAUGGGAGGAGCAAGUCUGGGAGUACAACUAAAGGGUUUAAUACAACAUUGUCUGUCUGGGGUAAACUUCAAGAGCAAUUUUGGUGGCACGAAAGCCUGAUCUAAAUGUGCCCAAGAGAGUACAUGAGGAUGGAAAGUGAAGAUGGCAAGAACAGCAACUCUCUGGUAAGGGAAGGAGGAUGGGCAUUGGCGUGUCAAGAAAGAGUUUGUCUAUGUAAGUGUGAGCCUAUGUGUGUGGUUUCAAAUUAAAAUAUCUGAAUGUUGAUGGGAAUGACCCGCUAUGUUGUAGGCCAGAAACCUGCUUUAUAUCCAUAUUUUCCUAAAAUAAAUUCUACUAGAUCAACCAUCAACUCCAGUAGCAAUAAAGAAUAAUUGCUAAAUACCUUAAAGAGGUGUUUAGUUAUGGCACACAGUGGACACUCAGAAAACUUUUCUUGAAUGAAUAGAUAUAAUGCCAGCAGUUGUAUGUGCUCUGCUAAUAUAAGCUCCAUAACCAGUUAACCAGAAUUUAAACUGGACUACAAAACUCCUAAAUCUCUUCAAAGGGAUACGUUGUUGCCUAUGUAAAAAAGAAACUCAAACACGUAUAUUGAACUGGGAAUUCAUACUUGACGUGCAACUGAUUUAAGCCCUCAUUCAUGUUGUUUCAAAGAAAUAUACUGUCAGAUUCAUUGAAGAAGAACUGAGUUAGGUAAUGGCAAGUCAAGUUGCAAUAAUGAAUGAAGAUUAUAGCCGAAAACAUUACUGAGUUACAGCAGAGAAGAUGUGGUUCAACCAGUUAUAGGAGCUUUGAAGUGAACCAUUUCACCCUGGCCCCAGGUGAAAUUGUGAAACUGGCUUGGUCUGUCUGGGUGGCCCCUAGACCUCCCUCACUCCUUCAACCCUUAUUCUAGACUAACAAUCUCCUCCUGAGCCUCUAUCGUCUCCCUAACUUUUUUCCAAAUUAUAAAGAAAAUACAUGGUAUGUUGAAAUUACAGCCAAAGAUAUUCCUAAUUCUUGUAUCAUGAUAGCCUCAGAGCAAAUUUCCCAGGCUAUAGACUGAGAGUGCACCCCUACUGAGUUUACAUAAGCUCUGAUAUUUUCCCUAGAAGUAAAGGCUAUG
Non-coding RNA from Microcebus murinus (gray mouse lemur), 3040 nucleotides. NCBI's taxonomy places the organism in Eukaryota, Metazoa, Chordata, Mammalia, Primates, Cheirogaleidae. The record is from RefSeq and is a predicted model, not a curated record.